CCCGGGCACCCUCAUCAGCGCCCUGGUGCUGGGCAGCCUCCUGCUGCAGACAGCCCUGCUCAUCACUGUGCAGGUCCUCAGCUACUUCAUCACCGUCUCGCAGAGCUGGUUCGUCCCCCUGAACAGCACAGUGACAGCCCCCCAGAACCUGCCCAACUACGAGAACACCGUCCUGUUCUGCGUCAGUGGCUUCCAGUACCUCAUCCUGGCCGUGGCCAUGUCCAAGGGAUACCCCUUCCGGGAGCCCCUCUACACCAACGUGCUCUUCCUGCUCGUCCUCGUCCUGCUCUUUGGCCUCAUGAUCUGGUUGACGCUCUACCCGUUGGGCUUCCCCAAAACCCUCCUGAAGCUCCACGGCAUCGAGGACCUGAACUUCAAGCUGCUGCUGCUGGGAAUCGCCGCCCUCAACUUCUUCGCCGCCUUCGUGCUGGAGACUGCCCUGGACCAUGGCCUGCUCCGCUGCUGCCGCAGGAUACGCCGGAAAAAAGCCUCCAAGAAGCUCUUCAAGAGGCUGGAGAAGGAGCUGAGCCAGCAGCAGCCGGGCUGGCCCCCCCUCAACGAGCCCCUCUUUGCCACCCCCAGGAUGGCCAUGGCCCUGAGAUAGCGGGCGCGGGGCCCUCCCGUGCCACCCUCAGACGAUGGCCUUUAUUUAUUGAUCCCGGGAAAAGGAGGGAUGCGGCGGGCGGGAUCCCGCGGCACGGCAGCUCUGGGGCCACAGUCGUGGUGGUCCCACAGGGAGGAGGUGGUGGAGGAGAAACGGGAGGAGAAGAUCCAGAGGAAGAGGAGGAACCGGAGGGGCUCUUCCUCCAGGGUUUCUCCCGCUCCUGCGCCGGGCACCGGGGCUGUUCCGCAGCGGAAUUCCACCUCCCUCGUCCUCUCCUGGCUGCCCAAACUGAGCUCCAUGACCUCUUUCCAGCUGGAAUUUCCUAGAAAAUAAUAAUUAUGGCUGGAAAACUGCAGGUGGCCUGGCCAAGACUCCAAAACUCACUCCGAGGAAACGCCGCAGACGGAGGUGCCGCAUCCCAAAAACAGAGGAGGGUCCCUGAUCCUCUCCUGGCGAGGGCACCCCCCCGACCUCGUGUCCAUGUCACUGUGACUCCCCUCCAUGGCCCUCCCUAGAUGUGUAGGAAGUUUACAGUCCCCAUUCCCAGCUUGCCAAGGAUGCUGCUCCAUCCUGGGGACCAACUGCGGGCCCCUUUCCCGCUUGGAAUGCUCCCGCAGGGCACUUCUGCUUCCGGCUGGGACCUUUGUAGCAUUAAAAAAACCCCAGAUCUCUUUAUUUUUUAACUACACUCCGAUGCCUCGAGGUGUAAAAGCCGUGGGGAGGGUGAAGGUGCCAAUUCCAGGUUGUGGACGGCGCCGAUUCUGGACGGUGCAGUCGCGGGUGUUGUCUAAUAAAUUAACACUAUU
RNAcentral lists this long non-coding RNA (1410 nucleotides) under Lepidothrix coronata (blue-crowned manakin). Its description in RNAcentral is "lncRNA (ENSLCOG00000004881.1)". The record is from RNAcentral. Lineage: Eukaryota; Metazoa; Chordata; Aves; Passeriformes; Pipridae.